AGCAGAGCACGGCCCAGGCUGGCAGCGGGGGCUCUCCAGGCUGGGUACACCCAAUGCCAACUCAGAUGGAAACCUGGGCGCGUUGGCCGGGAGCCCUGUGCCUGGACAGGUAGCAACACGGUGCGGAGACAGGAUCAGGCCGCGAAGCAGGGUGUAUGCCAGCCGUGAGGGGAGAAUGCUGCAGAGCUGAGUGUCACAACUGCUGGUUUCCUUUUCAUUCUGGAACACUGGAGAUUCCAGAGCUGUUAUGCGUCGUUCCGGGACAUGAUUCAGGCUUAGGGCUUCCAGGUCUUGGCAGUGAGGAGGGAAUGGGGACUCUACCAUGGAGAAGACAGGAUUCCUCUUUGGUCCAUGACUCAAAAAGCCACAGGGAUGCUCCAUGACUAUUACAAGACUUCAAAAUUACAGUUAAUUUGA
Molecule: long non-coding RNA, 417 nt
Filed under: Homo sapiens (human)
Lineage: Eukaryota; Metazoa; Chordata; Mammalia; Primates; Hominidae
Description: HSALNT0157385
Source: RNAcentral